CGGGGGGAGCAAGCGUUGUUCGGAUUUACUGGGCGUAAAGGGCGCGUAGGCGGCCACCGCAAGUCGACUGUGAAAUCUCCGGGCUUAACCCGGAAAGGUCAGCCGAUACUGCGGGGCUAGAGUGCAGAAGGGGCAACUGGAAUUCUCGGUGUAGCGGUGAAAUGCGUAGAUAUCGAGAGGAACACCUGCGGCGAAGGCGGGUUGCUGGGCUGACACUGACGCUGAUGCGCGAAAGCUAGGGGAGCGAACGGGAUUAGAUACCCCCGGUAGUCCUAGCCUUAAACGAUGAAUGCUUGGUGUCUGGGGUUUUAUAGUCCCCGGGUGCCGUCGCUAACGCUUUAAGCAUUCCGCCUGGGGAGUACGGUCGCAAGACUG
This 375-nucleotide ribosomal RNA is filed under the name uncultured organism. RNAcentral's name for it is "bacterial SSU rRNA". It matches the Rfam family "Bacterial small subunit ribosomal RNA", at positions 526 to 896 of the family's 1533-position model. The record is from RNAcentral.